RNAcentral lists this ribosomal RNA (253 nucleotides) under uncultured bacterium. Its description in RNAcentral is "partial 16S ribosomal RNA". It matches the Rfam family "Bacterial small subunit ribosomal RNA", at positions 524 to 776 of the family's 1533-position model. The record is from RNAcentral.
UACGGAGGGUGCAAGCGUUAUCCGGAUUUACUGGGUUUAAAGGGUGUGUAGGCGGACUUUUAAGUCAGAGGUGAAAUCUCCGGGCUCAACCCGGAAACUGCCCCUGAUACUAUUAGUCUUGAAUAUUGAUGAGGUGGGCGGAACGGGUCAUGUAGCGGUGAAAUGCUUAGAGAUGACCCGGAACACCAAGUGCGAAGGCAGCUCACUGGGCAAUUAUUGACGCUGAGGCACGAAAGCGUGGGGAUCAAACAGG